RNAcentral lists this ribosomal RNA (468 nucleotides) under uncultured bacterium. RNAcentral describes it as "partial 16S ribosomal RNA". It matches the Rfam family "Bacterial small subunit ribosomal RNA", at positions 28 to 507 of the family's 1533-position model. The record is from RNAcentral.
GACGAACGCUGGCGGCGUGCUUAACACAUGCAAGUCGAACGGAAAGGCCCUGCUUUUGUGGGGUGCUCGAGUGGCGAACGGGUGAGUAACACGUGAGUAACCUGCCCUUGACUUUGGGAUAACUUCAGGAAACUGGGGCUAAUACCGGAUAGGAGCUCCUGCUGCAUGGUGGGGGUUGGAAAGUUUCGGCGGUUGGGGAUGGACUCGCGGCUUAUCAGCUUGUUGGUGGGGUAGUGGCUUACCCAGGCUUUGACGGGUAGCCGGCCUGAGAGGGUGAACGGCCACAUUGGGACUGAGAUACGGCCCAGACUCCUACGGGAGGCAGCAGUGGGGAAUAUUGCACAAUGGGCGGAAGCCUGAUGCAGCAACGCCGCGUGCGGGAUGACGGCCUUCGGGUUGUAAACCGCUUUCGCCUAUGACGAAGCGUGAGUGACGGUAAUGGGUAAAGAAGCACCGGCUAACUACGUG